Molecule: long non-coding RNA, 399 nt
Filed under: Rattus norvegicus (Norway rat)
Lineage: Eukaryota; Metazoa; Chordata; Mammalia; Rodentia; Muridae
Description: long non-coding RNA NONRATT012313
Source: RNAcentral
GCAAGACCAGGCCACGGGUGUUCUGCUUGUCUCUGUGAGGAAUAAAGCAUCGGACAAACAUCUUCCCUUCAGCUCCUUCUUCUCUUUCACUCUCCCCGACGUCAUUUCCCAAACGGGAGUCCUGUGAGGAUGUUGAGAAACUUUCCAUGCUCCCGUGCAUACCCUCUGUGUGUGCACAACACUUAUUCCCCCACCCGCCACCUUGACCAGGAGAAAGAGAAUUCUGGAAUCAAAUGAAGCCCAGGUCCCUUUGCCUUUACGUGUCACUUUUCAUCAGAAGGUUGAGGGGAGGAGAGGUUUACUUUGCCUUACGAUUCCAGAGCUUUCGAAUCCAUCCUGGUGGGGAAGCCAUGCAAACCAGGAAGGCAGAGCAGGAAGCUGGCUGAUCACAUUAUCACC